UUUUCAUAUCACAAUUUCAGUUUGUUCCCUUGUAAUCAUUACUGGGACAAUUUACAGCGGCUAGAAUUAUAUAUGCACAGAAAUGGAAGAGUAAUGAACUGCCUUCAAAAGAAGAUUGGCUGAUAAAAAUUUUGGAAUAUGUGGAGAUGGCAAAACUUACAACACUAAUAAGAGACCAACAUUUGGAAUGCUUCAAAGAAGAUUGGAAACCAUUCUUGUUGUAUCUAAAGAACUAUUUUCCUACUAUGGACUUUACAGCAGGGUUCGAAAUUUAGUAAAAAAACUGCAGGUUGGGUAGAUUAGCUGUGUUUGUAAGGGUUUAAAUUUAUGUUUUGAACUAUUGUUAUAGCAAGGGUAAACUUUAUAGCUGAUGAUUCACGAAGAGAUGUGUGCGGGAAGUCCAAUUUUGUCUAUUUGUAAUCAAUGACAAUAUUAUUAUUGUUAAAAUUAAUAAAAAUUGAAUUUGGAAAAAAAA
This is a long non-coding RNA of Hemicordylus capensis (graceful crag lizard), 475 nucleotides long. RefSeq lists it as uncharacterized. The transcript is spliced from 2 exons. The record is from RefSeq and is a predicted model, not a curated record. Lineage: Eukaryota; Metazoa; Chordata; Lepidosauria; Squamata; Cordylidae.